RNAcentral lists this ribosomal RNA (253 nucleotides) under uncultured bacterium. RNAcentral describes it as "partial 16S ribosomal RNA". It matches the Rfam family "Bacterial small subunit ribosomal RNA", at positions 524 to 776 of the family's 1533-position model. The record is from RNAcentral.
UACAGAGGUCCCGAGCGUUGUUCGGAUUCACUGGGCGUAAAGGGUGCGUAGGUGGUUAGGUAAGUCCGAUGUGAAAUCUCCAGGCUCAACCUGGAAAUGGCAUUGGAUACUAUUUAGCUUGAGGAGUGGAGGGGGGACUGGAAUUCCCGGUGUAGUGGUGGAAUGCGUAGAUAUCGGGAGGAACACCAGUGGCGAAGGCGGUUGCCUGGGGCUUUGCUGACGCUGAUGCGCGAAAGCGUGGGGAGCGAUCCGG